This is a non-coding RNA of Camelina sativa (false flax), 1403 nucleotides long. Lineage: Eukaryota; Viridiplantae; Streptophyta; Magnoliopsida; Brassicales; Brassicaceae. The record is from RefSeq and is a predicted model, not a curated record.
UUGGGGUUUUAGCAAAGUUUUUGAGAAAUUGUUUUGAUGAAAAGGAUAUGAGAUUUUGGUCCUAAUACAAUUGACAAAUAUAAUAUUCUGACCCAUGUUCUCUCACUCUCUCUCUCUCUCUCUCGUUUUUGUCUGUAUCGUCUUUUUUUCGGAUAUGAAGAACAUAUCUGAAUCAAUUUUUGUCUGUUCGGAUGUUCCUCUUGAAGGUCUUCUUUAUUUCCCCUGAAACGAUUAAAAUCCAUACAGUGUCCGAUGAGAUUGAAGUUGGUCAUAAUCUCCGGAAUUAUAAAGUGACGGAGGUUUUAUAUGUCGAUCCUCAUGAACAGAUUUCCUGAAAUUGGUUUCCUUAAUCGUCUAUAGUGUCAGGUUUUGGACCUGAAUAUCAAUGAAAGAGCUAAUUUCAAAGACAACAUGGUAAUGAAAACGCAUCAUCUACGGGACUUGUUUCUACACACCAAUUCACAACAGUUUAAGAACUAUGUUUAUAGAUAUAGAAACCCUUGCUAUAUAUUGUCUGAUACGUAUUUAAAUUUCUCACGUCUUGAACUUGCGAUUUUGUUCUAUGUCAAAUUAAGUAGUAAUUCACAACAGUUUAAGCGGUAUGUUUAUAGAUAAAAUCCACGUCUUAAAAUUACACUUUGAUAAUGAAGUAGUUUCAACUUAAUAAUUAGUUUUCAAUCUGGCUUAAAAAUAAGCUGAAAAAUAAAAAGUUUUUGUCGCAAGAGUUACGAUAAUAACUAACAAAAAAUUAUUCAACCCAGUAUCUUCAGUUAACCUCCUUCCAAAUUAGCCAUCUACAAAAAGUAUAAAUACUUAUUUCACCAUGAACCUCCAUGAGCCAAUGGGAAGGUGGUUGACAUAACGGUUCACCAAGUCUUUUUUCACGGACCCGUGUAUUUUCAUUCCGUGAAGGUAUAUUUUAUAGUGAGAGAAGAGAAACUUAUGAAAAGAAUACAUUAUUUGAAAGUGAUACUCACAGUCUAGUCAGCCAAAAUGAGUUCAAGGGCUUAGCAUGUGGUAGUUGUAUAUUGGCACGAAGGACUUUGACCUCUUGUAUGGACGGAUGUCGCGGAGAAAAGCAAAAGAAACCGGCGUUAUUUUAGUUAUAUGGUGGGAUGGCUUGACACAACUCAUGUGAUGUUCAGAAGAGGAGUUUCAGAAUUUGGAGAACUAAGAAAAUGAUUUAGCACAACUUAUUCUUUAAAGGUAUGUUUACUUUAGCAUUGUUACUUUUGUUUUUUUUGUGUAAUUGUUACUUGCCUUUUGAUUUUGGUAUAAGGGAUUGAUUUACUGUAUAGUUUCACAGAUCUCAAUCCCAUAUACCAAAAUUUGUUUCUUUUUUCAUCAACCAAAAUCUUUUUGAAGGUAAGUUUACUUAAUACUAGGUGCUUCCCCACGCAACG